GUGGUUUAUUCUGAGAGCAGCCGGGCUCGGGCGCAGGACCCCGAGGGCAGGCAGGAGGCCGGCGCGGGUGCUGGGGCGGGCACGAGGCUGAAGAGGGCGCGGCGGCUAGCGCGGGGCGAGGGCGGCAGCGCAGCCUGAAGCGAGCUGAGAGCGGCCAGUUGCUGCUCCCGGGACAAGUCACCGCGCAGGCCCAAGAGGGCGGAGACGUGGUCCUCGCUGCAGGGGCACCAAGGAGGCGUGUCAGCCCCGUUCUCCCCGCCCUCCGGCUUCUCCUCCCUCCUGGACCCCCGUCCGCACCUCACGUCGGGAAACUGUUGCUGCAGGCCAGCCACCUCCAGGCCCAGCAGCGCGGGGUCGCGGAGGUUUAGCAGCUCUCUCAGGGCGAGCAGCACCGGCGCGCAGUGCGCGUUCUCCUCCAGGCCCUGAGCACGUCGGGGUAGGGUCUCGCGCCAGCCCUCGUCUCCCACCCAACCACUGAGACUCCCGCCCGUCUGCCCGCCAAGAAGCUCUCACCAAACCGAGGAAAAGCUGCUGAAGCUGGGCAGCAUCGUGCCGCAGGCGCUCGGCCGCCUGGGUCCUCUCGUCCGCUCCGCGGCACACCAGGCGGCCUUGCAUCAGCGCGCGCAGGUACUGGAGCACCACGGCGCGCUCGGCCUCAGCCAGUAGCAGCUGCGGGGAGGCAAUCAGACCUGAAGGAGGCCUCACCUGGAGCUCCACCUGCAGCGCCUCCAACACCAGGCGGCAGAUCCUCCUCUGUAACUUGUCCAGCGCAGCUUCCACCGGAGCCAAGGCCCCUGAAGGCGCCCCGUCCAGCUGCAGGACAGACACUGAGGAGCUGGACCGAGCAAAACUACGGCUUCAGGACCAAGGCCAAGGCCCGCAUGGCCCUCGGUGGUCCAGCCCCUCCGGCGCCACCUUGUGGGGCAAGUGUUGAUAGGAGGGAGCGAGAACAGCGGCUCCCUGCACUUCUGGUCUCAGGCAUGGACCAGGGCUGGGAGGCGGCGCUCGGCGAGCUACAAAGGACACAGCCCAGGGGGACCUGCCUCUAAUUCGCGGUGCGACCUUGAGCAAAACAUUCUUUCUGUUUGUGUUUCCUCAUUCGUAAAGGGAGGGAACUAUCCCAGUGAGGAGGGAGUAAAAAUCAUCACUAACUUGUUUUCCUUGCCCCCACCAAAAAGAACAUACCACCCAAGAGGAAGGGAGUGUGUGUGUGUGUGUGUGUGUGUGUACACACAGCUGUAACCCCAGAUAUUACUGGCACAGAGUAGGGCCUUGAAAUAUUCGCUGGACGAAUGAGCAAUUGACAUCAUGUGCCAGGCACUAUGGUAGGCACUUGACAUGUUAUCUCAUGUGAUUCUCGGAACAUUCCAUUAGUACCCACAUAAUACUAAUGAGAAAAGUGAGAUUCAGAGAGAUUAGGUAACCCAUCCAAGGUCACAUAACUAGUAAUUAGCAGAACUAGAAUUGGAACCCCAGGGCGAUGUGAGUCCAAAGUCCCUAGUGUCCUAGUGUGGGCUGGGCCCAUACACAAUAGGUACUCAAUAGGGGGUUAGUGAAGGUGGGGUUCCCCGGGGGCCUUCUGGUACCUGAGUGCUGACUGGUGGUUGAGGGCGGCCAGUAGGUAGGGCACGUAAUGAGGGACCAUUGCUUUCCCCCUGAGGUGGUCUCGGGAGAAUCGGAUCAGAGCGUCACUGAAGCUGCAAUGGGCAGAGGUGGCUCCUGGACUUGCUGCUAUGCUGGCAGCCCCACAGCCCCAGUCCCUGGUACUCCUGUCCCAUCUCCAAGAUACCCAAGUCCUUGUUUGAAAGAGCC
Long non-coding RNA from Macaca mulatta (Rhesus monkey), 1812 nucleotides. RefSeq lists it as uncharacterized. Lineage: Eukaryota; Metazoa; Chordata; Mammalia; Primates; Cercopithecidae. The record is from RefSeq and is a predicted model, not a curated record.